UAGGGAAUUUUGCACAAUGGGCGAAAGCCUGAUGCAGCAAUGCCGCGUGAGUGAAGAAGGCUCUUGGGUUGUAAAGCUCUUUCGGCUGGAAAGAAGGGGUCACUUGCGAACAGCCUGUGAUUCUGACGGUACCAGAAGAAGAAGGACCUGCUAACUACGUGCCAGCAGCAGCGGUAAUACGUAGGGUCCAAGCGUUGUUCGGAAUUACUGGGCGUAAAGCGUGCGCAGGCGGCUUUGCAAGACAGAUGUGAAAUCCCCGGGCUCAACCUGGGAACUGCAUUUGUGACUGCAUGGCUAGAGUACGGUAGAGGGGGAUGGAAUUCCGCGUGUAGCAGUGAAAUGCGUAGAUAUGCGGAGGAACACCGAUGGCGAAGGCAAUCCCCUGGACCUGUACUGACGCUCAUGCACGAAAGCGUGGGGAGCAAA
This 426-nucleotide ribosomal RNA is filed under the name uncultured bacterium. RNAcentral's name for it is "bacterial SSU rRNA". It matches the Rfam family "Bacterial small subunit ribosomal RNA", at positions 355 to 772 of the family's 1533-position model. The record is from RNAcentral.